CAACAGGGCAUUGCCUUAGUAACGGCGAGUGAAGCGGCAAAAGCUCAAAUUUGAAAUCUGGCACCUUCGGUGUCCGAGUUGUAAUUUGAAGAAGGUAACUUUGGGAUUGGCUCUUGUCUAAGUUCCUUGGAACAGGACGUCACAGAGGGUGAGAAUCCCGUGCGAUGAGAUGACCAAUCCUAUGUAAAGUGCUUUCGAAGAGUCGAGUUGUUUGGGAAUGCAGCUCUAAGUGGGUGGUAAAUUCCAUCUAAAGCUAAAUAUUGGCGAGAGACCGAUAGCGAACAAGUACAGUGAUGGAAAGAUGAAAAGAACUUUGAAAAGAGAGUGAAAAAGUACGUGAAAUUGUUGAAAGGGAAGGGCUUGAGAUCAGACUUGGUAUUUUGCAUUCCUUACCUUCGUGGUGGGGUUCCUUGCAGUUUACUGGGCCAGCAUCGGUUUGGAUGGUGGGAUAAUGACAUUGGAAUGUGGCUCUGCUUCGGUAGAGUGUUAUAGCCAGUGUUGAUACCGCCUGUCUAGACCGAGGACUGCGUCUUUGACUAGGAUGCUGGCAUAAUGAUCUUAAGUCGCCCGUCUUGAAACCC
Molecule: ribosomal RNA, 581 nt
Filed under: Schwanniomyces occidentalis var. occidentalis
Lineage: Eukaryota; Fungi; Ascomycota; Pichiomycetes; Serinales; Debaryomycetaceae
Description: LSU rRNA
Rfam family: Eukaryotic large subunit ribosomal RNA
Source: RNAcentral